This 355-nucleotide unclassified non-coding RNA is filed under the name soil metagenome. RNAcentral's name for it is "partial contains 5.8S ribosomal RNA, internal transcribed spacer 2, and large subunit ribosomal RNA". The stretch from base 1 to 120 matches the Rfam family "5.8S ribosomal RNA", at positions 35 to 154 of the family's 154-position model. The record is from RNAcentral.
GAUGAAGAACGUAGCGAAAUGCGAUAAGUAAUGUGAAUUGCAGAAUUCAGUGAAUCAUCGAAUCUUUGAACGCACAUUGCGCCCAUUAGUAUUCUAGUGGGCAUGCCUGUUCGAGCGUCAUUAAGUCCACUUAAGCCCUGCUUAGUGUUGGGAGACUGCUCCAGCGGUGCUACCCUGUAGCUACCCUGCAGCUCCUCAAAGACAGCGGCGGAGUUGUGGUAUCCUCUGAGCUUAGUAACUUGUUCUAGCUUUCGAGUACACCACUUCCCCUGCCGUACAACCCUUAAUUUUUAAUGGUUGACCUCGGAUCAGGUAGGAAUACCCGCUGAACUUAAGCAUAUCAAUAAGCGGAGGA